RNAcentral lists this ribosomal RNA (465 nucleotides) under uncultured bacterium. Its description in RNAcentral is "partial 16S ribosomal RNA". It matches the Rfam family "Bacterial small subunit ribosomal RNA", at positions 28 to 507 of the family's 1533-position model. The record is from RNAcentral.
GACGAACGCUGGCGGCGUGCUUAACACAUGCAAGUCGAACGGUGAACUCCGCUUGCGGGGGGAUCAGUGGCGCACGGGUGAGUAACACGUGGGCAACCUGCCCUCAGCUCUGGGAUAACUCCAAGAAAUUGGGGCUAAUACCGGAUAUGACCGCUGACCGCAUGGUCUGGUGGUGGAAAGAUUUAUCGGCUGGGGAUGGGCCCGCGGCCUAUCAGCUUGUUGGUGGGGUAGUGGCCUGCCAAGGCGACGACGGGUAGCCGGCCUGAGAGGGUGACCGGCCACACUGGGACUGAGACACGGCCCAGACUCCUACGGGAGGCAGCAGUGGGGAAUAUUGCGCAAUGGGCGAAAGCCUGACGCAGCGACGCCGCGUGGGGGAUGACGGCCUUCGGGUUGUAAACCUCUUUCAGCAGGGACGAAGCGAAAGUGACGGUACCUGCAGAAGAAGCACCGGCCAACUACGUG